AAAUUGAAGAGUUUGAUCAUGGCUCAGAUUGAACGCUGGCGGCAGGCCUAACACAUGCAAGUCGAACGGUAACAGGAAGCAGCUUGCUGCUUCGCUGACGAGUGGCGGACGGGUGAGUAAUGUCUGGGAAACUGCCUGAUGGAGGGGGAUAACUACUGGAAACGGUAGCUAAUACCGCAUAACGUCGCAAGACCAAAGAGGGGGAUCUUCGGACCUCUUGCCAUCGGAUGUGCCCAGAUGGGAUUAGCUAGUAGGUGGGGUAACGGCUCACCUAGGCGACGAUCCCUAGCUGGUCUGAGAGGAUGACCAGCCACACUGGAACUGAGACACGGUCCAGACUCCUACGGGAGGCAGCAGUGGGGAAUAUUGCACAAUGGGCGCAAGCCUGAUGCAGCCAUGCCGCGUGUAUGAAGAAGGCCUUCGGGUUGUAAAGUACUUUCAGCGGGGAGGAAGGGAGUAAAGUUAAUACCUUUGCUCAUUGACGUUACCCGCAGAAGAAGCACCGGCUAACUCCGUGCCAGCAGCCGCGGUAAUACGGAGGGUG
RNAcentral lists this ribosomal RNA (544 nucleotides) under Escherichia coli. RNAcentral's name for it is "bacterial SSU rRNA". It matches the Rfam family "Bacterial small subunit ribosomal RNA", at positions 1 to 534 of the family's 1533-position model. Lineage: Bacteria; Pseudomonadati; Pseudomonadota; Gammaproteobacteria; Enterobacterales; Enterobacteriaceae. The record is from RNAcentral.